CGCCUGUUGGACAAUGGGUUAAGUCACCAGACUUUCAAUCUGGCGUAACGGGUUCGAGUCCCGUACAGGCGA
This 72-nucleotide transfer RNA is filed under the name Paenibacillus polymyxa SC2. It matches the Rfam family "tRNA". Rfam says of the family: Transfer RNA (tRNA) molecules are approximately 80 nucleotides in length. Their secondary structure includes four short double-helical elements and three loops (D, anti-codon, and T loops). Lineage: Bacteria; Bacillati; Bacillota; Bacilli; Caryophanales; Paenibacillaceae. The record is from Rfam by way of RNAcentral.